AGAUAAUCAGUCUACAUAAUAUACUAAAGAGUCAGAUUUUAUGUGCUUAAUCAAGAGAUAAUCUCGGCUUAAUUGGAUACUGCAUGAAAGUUUUGUUUCAAGUUAUAUCAGUCAUUCAUAAUGGCUGAUUUGGAGUGAAUAAAGUACAGAAACUGGUGCUACAUGUUCAAAUAUAAAUCACACCACUGAUAGAUACAUAGAUUCAUACACUAGGGAGCAGAAUAUGAUAACUACACCAAACUAAACCGACACAUGAUUAUUAGCAUUUAGCUAUCCUCUUUCCUAAUACCUGGUCACAACAACAUACCAUCAUACAACAUGUUUUACCCUUCCUGAGAAGGCCAAAGGAAGGCCCCCAUGGCGAACUUCCUCUUCUGGUCGACAUCACCAGACACAGGCAAACCAUACUCGUUCAGGAGGCGAUCCAGCUUCCACUCUGGCAUAUUCUCAUAGUCUUUCUUCCCGUACCUCGGGUAAUGCAGCGGCAUUUGGAAUGAGGACUGGAUAUUAGUGCUCUUGUUCAUAUUUUGCCCAUGAGGCCUCCCCCCGAGCAUAGAUAAAGCGGCAUUUGCUAGACUAAUCCCUGCCAUCGAUAUCUUCUUGCUUCACACUAUUUCUUGCUGCAUACGGGGACUCCAAUUUGCCCUUUUAUAGGCGUCCUACAAGGAAGGCGAUUAGAGAGAGAGCGAGAACAUAGAAGCGUGUACUGGAUGGGGUAACAUUAAUGUCAUGAAAGCAAACGUUUAGAGAAUGGUGGUGGGGUUUCGUUAGAAUUGUGGUAUGCAGCACUGCAAUUAUGCAGUGCACUGAACUUGUCGGGAAAGGUACCUUUCGGAGAAUGCAAGUAACUACAUAUGUGGAUUGAAUGGUCAGGAAUCUAGGAUGAUCUUGAGAUACACGUUGUCACUACCGUUCAUCGAUUAUCUCGAUUUUUCUGUGUCAGGAUUUGAUGUUCCCAGUUAGAUCCAGAUUUAUCUAGUAGAGUGGCAUAAGCUUUUGAACUCAAGAGUCAAGGCUACACAGGUAAAGGUGAAAAUAAGAUCGGGCUUUCUUAAGCAUUGCAUAUCAAAUGCGAUGUUUCAUACCUAGUAGUUAACGAACAUGAAUCAGAUACAUAUACGUGAUGCAAUAACACAAAUCAAGCAACAAAAUGAAUUUUCUUUCCCCUCUCUUUCCAAUGCCCAAUCGCAUUAAAUUGCUUCCUGUGUUGGCAUGACCAGAAUUCUUCUGAAGUCAAAUACCUCGGCUAACACGAUGACGAUGAUUCUGGUAUUUGUCCAAAUCGAGCAGUUGUGUGUACAUUUGCUAAUUGUCUUUUCCAAAAGUCAUAUCAGGCUUCCGUGGACACCAUAUCACCACACGCAAUUCACAUCAAUGCCUAUUAAUUGCAAUGUCAAGUCCACUUGCGUUAUCUUUGUACAUCAGCGGAUAACUCAUAUCGGCAAUCUGAGUCCAGUCGGUUAUUUCACUUCCAUUGAGAUCCUUGGGUUCCUUUGCACUCGCUGAACCUACAUUCAGGUGGAAAGAAACAGAGAUACAUCUGUGAGAUGUUCUUUUUUCUAUUACAUAACCAAAGUGAUCUCUCCUUCUAAACAUGGGUCUAGUCACUACCACUUCUGUCCAUUUGAUUGUCCAGUCAAAAACAUCAAUGCGUGUAAAUUCUCCAAUGCCUCAUUUCUGGAAAAACCCGUGAAUUGACAUCUUAUUGAAGGACAUCUCUACACUUGUUCAAUAUUUUCCUAUGUCAAGAUUCAAGUAGAUUCAGAUACGAGUGAAUGUCACUGUUGCGUUUAGACAAUGUCCUCCUUCUAAAGCAGUUAGAGAUUUACCACUUGGACCUAUAAUGGACUGCUAUUUUUAUCCAGAGAAACAAGAGAAAUAUUGUUUUUUGAAGAUAGAGUAGAAACUUUCAUACCAGGAUGUCACUAACUAAGCAAGUACUCUCGAGUCUCAGCAUUCCCUGCUUUGUUGAGAUAAGUGUAUGUGCCCCAAGGAAAUAAAGCACCCCGGAAGAACUGCUCUCACUCUGCAUUGGUUACUGCAAGUAAUCCAUUGAAUUAACAUUCAGUGCACACCAUUGCCUUAAAAGCUUCUAACAACAGAAAAUGCCACAUUAAAAUCAUUCAGAGGACUCGACAACGUGCUUUGCAAUUGCCUCGUAGUUACUGCAUGCGGUGGUAAUUGACUAAGACGAAUUUUCAGUCACAUGACAAUAUGAAUAAGUUGCAAAUGCCAUUUUCCUUUCUUCAUUCACUGAACAGACAAACAUGUAGACGUAAUGCCUGCAAUAUAAAGAACAAACACUGACUGAAGUCGAUUGUGGACUCCAGCGUUACCUCUAUAAGAACUUACAUCGAGCAGUAGAUGACUAAGGCGAUCCUUUUUCCCCCUUGUUUGAUAAACUAAUCAAGGCAUUCAAUGAUUAUGACAUUUUGUCUGGCCAGCUUGAAAUUAUGGAGCUAAGAGUCAUGGGGGCUCCUCUGAGUCUGAUAUAUCCUUUAGCAAGUGGGUUGUGCCCAUCAUGAUUUUAGAAGUCUUAAAUGUCCUCAACUCAAUUCAUAUUGUAGAUGUAGAAUAUAGUAUCAUCUGUCAAUUAUGAAUUUGCAAAAAUUCUGCAAGGAAAACUAGGAUUAAAGUGAGGUACAAUAAUUCUGUUUGAUUUCUAGUAUGUCAUUUGUUCUUUUUUCUUUUGGGUUCAAUUUAGGUAUCGAAAUUGGGGAGGAAGAACUAAUAAGCCAUGAAAAUCUCGAUGUCUCCUGGCCACUUGACUGGUUCCAUGAUGGCUUUAACAAUUCGUGCACUAUUCCAUUGACUACAUGUCCACUUGGACGUGUAGUAAUUAUCACCUUCCCGGGUUCAUGUGUCGGCCAAUGGAUUAUCAUGAAUACAUGCACAAGCAUAUAGUCAAUUGAAUUAUGGCUGACGAAUGAGCACAUUAACGGGUUAGCUGCAUAAGAGAUGUAUCCUAGUUCGUACAGAAACUCUGCAUGCUCUACAUUUCGACCACUCACUCUAAAAAAAUCGAUCCAAUCAUGAGAGAAAAAAACACAAAUACUCUGGCAUAAGAUUUGCAUUUUUGGAGGUUGAUACUGAGACAGGAUGGUCGCCUUUUGUAUGCCUCGCAAGAUAUAUUUGCACCAUGACACACUUGACACGAGUUAAUCAGUUGCGUCACGGAACAUAUCCACUUCACCAGAAUAAAAAGAGAAGAAUAAUAUAAUAUUCAUUCAAAUGAGUAAAUUGGAAAUGAUACAACUGUAACAUCUGUAUAUUACAAAAUCAAUGUAUAAGAAGAACAAGAAUCUUAGUUUUGAGCGUCUGCUAAGAAAAAUUGCCACAGAUUGUGUACUAGGCUACUGCUUUUGGCUAUAAGCCAAAAAUUGCAUGCAUCUGUGUCCAAAACUUCCACAUGAUAACAUUGACAGACAGAUCAAAAGUUGAUAUUUCACAUGACGACCGUGUUCCAGCUUUCUCGCGAGUGCAUUUCACUCUACUUCCAGCAGAAACCGCAGGAGUAUGUACAUGUCCUCAGGAGUGCUUUGCAAAAGCAUUACCCUAUUAUAUGCCCGAUACAAUGUUGCAAGGAAGGAUGGAAAUCAGUUGUUACUUUCAGAUGACUACUUGAAAAAAUGUCAUUGAUCAUCUGGUAUGGCCUUGGCAUUGCAUCAUGAAUCACUCUUUUGCUCAAUGGUAAUCUCUUUUGAUUUUCAGGAGCUGCUUUUCCAUUUGGAGGAUAAUCAACAAGCAUACUUGGAGGAGCAAAAUACAUGUGUAGCGACAUCAUACAGAUAAUGAUACCCAAGAAAAGCUGCAGCAGCCACAUUAAAUGAAACGAUCAUCUAUAGUCCAGAUGAAACAAGUAUAUAUGAAAAAGAACAUACUGAGAAUUAAGAAAUCCAAUGAUUUAUUAGUUUGAGACUUACUUGCAGUGUAGGCUUAAAGUUGAGAAGAUAAAUGGAAAGAACCAUUGUCAGCAGCAUGGCCAUUGACGUAGAAUAAACCUGGCAGAAAUAAUUAUAAAUAAAGACAACAUUAUUAAAAAGACUUUAAGCUGCUAGGAAAUGAGCCAAAAAAUAUUUAAUUAAGCACAUAUGCUUUCAUUCUCAUGCCAAUGGCCCCACGCCAUAACUCAAUAGAUUUGCAGACAAAACUCAGAAAUGGUCCACCCGAAAUAGAUACAUUCAGAAUAAUGAAAUGUAGAAUACAAGAAUGGGGUACUGAGCUUCAGGGGUCAGGGGGAUCAUAGCAAAUGCUGAAGAAAAGUACUGUAACUAGUAAAACCACCAAUUUUAUCCCAAAAUUAUGAUUAAGAUAUAAAUCAGUUCUUUUGCAACUGAACUUUAGCAAAAGUAUCAAUAACAUGUAUAUGAAAACCAUGAUCUGCAACAAGGACUCACCUUCACAGUGUUGUCUGCAUACUUCAUCAACCAUGAAACCAGCAAAACCAGUCGAUCCUAGGUUCAAUACCACCAUCCAAGUCAUAAUGGUAUACCCAUCAAAAAGCCGUUGCCACCAAGGGCCCUUUUCAAAGCCCCCUUGAAAAUCAUCUGAGAGAAGUCAUACCAUGUUGAAGAUCACACUGAAUCUGCAGAAGUAAAGAAUUCCAGUAAGAUACAGCCAUGAAGAAUUUUUUUUAGCAAAUAAGAACCCAACCAUGUAUUUAUGAUGAAGUUGUAGCAUUUGAAUAAACUUUUGAAUAAUUUUUUUUUUUGUUUUUCCAUAAAGCUAAUCUUAAGCAUAAAUCUUUCCACUUCAGCAAAGAGUGGAAUUUUUAGAAAGUCCUACCCAAAAGUUUAAGUUGAUAGGUGAAGGGAGAUCACAUGUACAAGCCGGAUUACGAGUGGCGCGUGGCAUGCACAUUUGCGAAAGAGAUAGCACUAGCUAUGAUAACAUGUUAGAAAAUCCAAUCCAAAAGCUAAAGCUGAUAAAUAGAGGGAGGCCACAUGAUAUAAAGAGCAUUUAGGACCUGUUGUCAAGCGAUGUGAGACAAUACUUCAACCGGAACACAUACAUUCCUUGCUAAACUGUCAUAUAAAUCAGCUCACAGCUCUUGACCUUUGUUUUAAGCCCUUAUAUAAGAAAACAGGGAAAUUGAGUUUUGACAUAAUCAUAUAAUAUUUUCCCACUAACACAGGAACCCAGUUCUCCCAGAGUAAAAUGUUCAACUGAAAAUACAACACUUUGCAGAAGACUAAUGAAGAAUCAAGAGAGAACUCUCAAAAGUAAUAUUUGCACAAUAAAUGCGACAAAAAAAAGCAUCAUUUGAAGACGGAGAACACUAAUUAUCACAAAGUAUGAGUAAGGCAUGUAGUAGUGGUCUUUCUGCAAGCUAAAUUGUGGAAUGAGUACUGUUACACCAAACUAGGAAAUACAGAACAGAAAAGAGAUACCUACAUAUAGAACUGUACAUUCUGCCAAUACAAACUAUCACAGUUCUUCUUCAUCAGAAACUCUGUGUAGACGCCGGCUAAUGCUGACAUAAUGCAGAUAAAGCUGUUGAAGAAAUGUUAGAGAUUACAUGAUUGUGUGUGCAAGGGGUAGAUUGCAUCUCAAAGUGCAAUUCUAUGUGAAUAUGAUGGGCAGUAGAAAACUAGUUUCUCAUUUUCAUAAGGUUCAUGCCCUGGAUGAGAGGUCAAUGUAACUAUCGUAUUAAAUGAAUGACUUCCCGACAAGACACCUAUCAUUCUCUGCAGAAACAUACGACAUCGCAUGAUUCCUCCACCGCACGACUUCAUGUUCACACCAAGCAGCUGCUUUCACAGAUUCUUAUAACCUGUGGUUGCUUAGCAUUGGUAUUGUUUUGGAAUUUCUCAAUAAAUGGAUCUUGGUUUGAUCUAUAUGCUGUUGAAAGGGUUUAACUGCAUUGAUCAAUGGAUCUUGGUUUGAUAUAUGCAGUUCAAAGGAUUUAACUGCAUCGAUGUUGUGAUUCCCUGAACUCUUCUUGGGUUUGUUCUGAUUAUAUCACUUGGUACUGAUGAAUUCCCCUUUUGCUUUUGCUUGUACUGCAAUGUUUCUCACAUCCGGUUGAAACAUCUGUUCUUGGGAGGUUUGCAACUCCAGUCUUGAAACUGGAUAUAAAUUUAAAGUGAUCUAAGGCUACUUACUGCUCCAGUCCUUUGUGAAGAAACUCUCGAUACUAAAAGUUAGAGAACCAUUUGCCAAGGAACUCAGCUUUAUUUUUAUCUUAUGAUACAGAGAAAAUAUAUUGAUGCUGUUCAUUCUUUAUGAGGGAAUCAAUCUACAUAAUAUACUAAAGAGUCAGAUUUUACGUGAAUAAUCAAGAGAUAAUCUCGGCUUAAGUGGAUAUUGCAUGAAAAUUUCGUUGCAGGUUAUAUCACAGUAAUUCAUAACAGCUGAUUAGGAGUGAGUAAAGUACCGAAACUGGUGCUACAUGUUCAAAUAUAAACCACACCACUUUACAUAGAUUCAUACACUAGUAGAAGAAUAUGAUAACCAAACCCACUAAACCGACACGUGAUUAUUAGCAUUUAGCAAUCCUCUUGCUAAUACCCAGUCACAACGACAUACCACCAUACAACAUGUUUUACCCUUCCUGUGAAGGCCAAAGGAAGGCCCCCAUGGCGAACUUCCUCUUCUGGUCGACAUCACCAGACACAGGCAAACCAUACUCAUUCAGGAGGCGAUCCAGC
RNAcentral lists this long non-coding RNA (6650 nucleotides) under Eucalyptus grandis. RNAcentral's name for it is "long non-coding RNA (EGRA_LNC002604)". Lineage: Eukaryota; Viridiplantae; Streptophyta; Magnoliopsida; Myrtales; Myrtaceae. The record is from RNAcentral.